AACGAACGCUGGCGGCAGGCUUAAUACAUGCAAGUCGAACGCCCCUUUCGGGGGGAGUGGCAGACGGGUGAGUAACGCGUGGGAACGUGCCCAAAGGUAGGGAACAACUCCGGGAAACUGGAGCUAAUACCCUAUGUGCCCGAGAGGGGAAAGAUUUAUCGCCUUUGGAUCGGCCCGCGUUGGAUUAGCUAGUUGGUGGGGUAAAAGCCUACCAAGGCGACGAUCCAUAGCUGUUCUGAGAGGAAGAUCAGCCACACUGGGACUGAGACACGGCCCAGACUCCUACGGGAGGCAGCAGUAGGGAAUCUUGGACGAUGGACGCAAGCCUGAUCCAGCCAUGCCGCGUGAGCGAUGAAGGCCUUAGGGUUGUAAAACUCUUUCGCAGGUGACGAUAAUGACGGUAACCUGAGAAGAAGCCCCGGCUAACUUCGUGCCAGCCGCCGCAGUAA
RNAcentral lists this ribosomal RNA (449 nucleotides) under uncultured bacterium. Its description in RNAcentral is "partial 16S ribosomal RNA". It matches the Rfam family "Bacterial small subunit ribosomal RNA", at positions 29 to 523 of the family's 1533-position model. The record is from RNAcentral.